CCCUAGGAGAUGCAUUUCCUGGUAUGAAUGAUUUCAGUUUUCAUUUGUUAGGUGACGCACUUCCUAACUUGAACCAUUACUCUUAAAAGACGCACUUUCUAGUUGAGUCAUUUCAUUUAAACCCUAGGAUACGCACUUGCUAGUCAGGGUAUGUCAGUUUUCAUGUGUUAGGUAACACACUUCCUAACUUGAGCAUUCACUCCUAGAAGACGCACUUUAUAGUUGAGUUAUUUCAUUUAACCCCUAGGAGACACACUUCCUAGUCAGGGUAUGUCAGUUUUCAUGUGUUAGGUAACACACUUUCAAACUUUGAACAUUUACUCCUAGAAGACGUACUUUCUAGUUGAGUCAUUACAUUUAACCCUUAGGAGACACACUUUCCUAGUUUGGGUAUUUCACGUUUCAUUUGUUAGGUAAUGCACUUCCGAACCUGAAUCAUUACUCCUAGAAGACAUAUUUUUUAGCUAAGUCAUUCCAUUAAACUUCUAGCAGACGCACUUUCUAGUCGAGUCAUUCCAUUUAACUCCUAGGAGAUGCACUUCCUAGUCAAGGUAUGUCAGUUUUUAUUUGUUAGGUAACACUUCCUAACUUGAACCAUUACUCCUAGAAGUUGCACUUUCUAGUCGAGUCAUUUCAUUUAACCCCUAAGAGAUGCACUUCUUUUUCUGGGUAAUUUAAGUUUCAUAUGUUAGGUGACGCACUUCCUAGCUUGAAAAUUCACUCUUAGAAGCCGCACUUUCUAGUUGGUUCAUUUUAUUUAACCCUUAGGAGACACACUUUUUUGUCUAGGUGAUUUAAGUUUCAUGUGUUAGGAGAUGCACUUCCUAAUUUUGGUCGUCAGUUUUACUUUGAAGAGAUGCAUGAGG
RNAcentral lists this long non-coding RNA (866 nucleotides) under Capsicum annuum. Its description in RNAcentral is "long non-coding RNA (CANN_LNC005055)". The record is from RNAcentral. Lineage: Eukaryota; Viridiplantae; Streptophyta; Magnoliopsida; Solanales; Solanaceae.